RNAcentral lists this ribosomal RNA (616 nucleotides) under Cortinarius ceraceus. Its description in RNAcentral is "eukaryotic LSU rRNA". It matches the Rfam family "Eukaryotic large subunit ribosomal RNA", at positions 1 to 622 of the family's 3401-position model. RNAcentral also lists the same sequence under 1 other name. Lineage: Eukaryota; Fungi; Basidiomycota; Agaricomycetes; Agaricales; Cortinariaceae. The record is from RNAcentral.
UGUGACCUCAAAUCAGGUAGGAUUACCCGCUGAACUUAAGCAUAUCAAUAAGCGGAGGAAAAGAAACUAACAAGGAUUCCCCUAGUAACUGCGAGUGAAGCGGGAAAAGCUCAAAUUUAAAAUCUGGCAGUCUUUGGCUGUCCGAGUUGUAAUCUAGAGAAGUGCUAUCCGCGCUGGACCGUGUACAAGUCUCCUGGAAUGGAGCGUCAUAGAGGGUGAGAAUCCCGUCUUUGACACGGACUGCCAGGGCUUUGUGAUGUGCUCUCAAAGAGUCGAGUUGUUUGGGAAUGCAGCUCAAAAUGGGUGGUAAAUUCCAUCUAAAGCUAAAUAUUGGCGAGAGACCGAUAGCGAACAAGUACCGUGAGGGAAAGAUGAAAAGAACUUUGGAAAGAGAGUUAAACAGUACGUGAAAUUGCUGAAAGGGAAACGCUUGAAGUCAGUCGCGUUGUCCAGGGAUCAACCUUGCUUUUGCUUGGUGCACUUUCUGGUUGACGGGUCAGCAUCAAUUUUGACCAUUGGAAAAAGAUUAGGGGAAUGUGGCAUCUUAGGAUGUGUUAUAGCCCUUGGUUGCAUACAAUGGUUGGGAUUGAGGAACUCAGCACGCCGCAAGGCCGGG